UACGUAGGGUGCGAGCGUUAAUCGGAAUUACUGGCGUAAGCGUGCGCAGGCGGUUGUGCAAGACAGGUGUGAAAUCCCCGGGCUUAACCUGGAACUGCACUUGUGACUGCACAGCUGAGUGCGGCAGAGGGAUGAAUUCCGCGUGUAGCAGUGAAAUGCGUAGAUAUGCGGAGGAACACCGAUGGCGAAGGCAGCCUCCGUGGCCAACACUGACGCUCAGUGCACGAA
This 228-nucleotide ribosomal RNA is filed under the name uncultured bacterium. Its description in RNAcentral is "partial 16S ribosomal RNA". It matches the Rfam family "Bacterial small subunit ribosomal RNA", at positions 524 to 757 of the family's 1533-position model. The record is from RNAcentral.